CCGCCAUUUGCUCAGCUGGAUAGAGUACUCGGCUACGAACCGAGCGGUCGGAGGUUCGAAUCCUCCCGGAUGCACCA
This 77-nucleotide transfer RNA is filed under the name Klebsiella pneumoniae. RNAcentral's name for it is "tRNA-Arg". The stretch from base 10 to 66 matches the Rfam family "tRNA", at positions 10 to 63 of the family's 71-position model. Rfam says of the family: Transfer RNA (tRNA) molecules are approximately 80 nucleotides in length. Their secondary structure includes four short double-helical elements and three loops (D, anti-codon, and T loops). Further hydrogen bonds mediate the characteristic L-shaped molecular structure. tRNAs have two regions of fundamental functional importance: the anti-codon, which is responsible for specific mRNA codon recognition, and the 3' end, to which the tRNAs corresponding amino acid is attached (by aminoacyl-tRNA synthetases). tRNAs cope with the degeneracy of the genetic code in two manners: having more than one tRNA (with a specific anti-codon) for a particular amino acid; and 'wobble' base-pairing, i.e. permitting non-standard base-pairing at the 3rd anti-codon position. Lineage: Bacteria; Pseudomonadati; Pseudomonadota; Gammaproteobacteria; Enterobacterales; Enterobacteriaceae. The record is from RNAcentral.